Molecule: ribosomal RNA, 408 nt
Filed under: uncultured bacterium
Lineage: Bacteria
Description: bacterial SSU rRNA
Rfam family: Bacterial small subunit ribosomal RNA
Source: RNAcentral
AGCAGCCGCGGUAAUACGGAGGGGGUUAGCGUUGUUCGGAAUUACUGGGCGUAAAGCGCGCGUAGGCGGAUUAGAAAGUUGGGGGUGAAAUCCCGGGGCUCAACCUCGGAACUGCCUCCAAAACUGCUAGUCUAGAGUUCGAGAGAGGUGAGUGGAAUUCCGAGUGUAGAGGUGAAAUUCGUAGAUAUUCGGAGGAACACCAGUGGCGAAGGCGGCUCACUGGCUCGAUACUGACGCUGAGGUGCGAAAGUGUGGGGAGCAAACAGGAUUAGAUACCCUGGUAGUCCACACCGUAAACGAUGAAUGCCAGUCGUCGGGUAGUAUACUAUUCGGUGACACACCUAACGGAUUAAGCAUUCCGCCUGGGGAGUACGGUCGCAAGAUUAAAACUCAAAGGAAUUGACGGGG